Molecule: ribosomal RNA, 576 nt
Filed under: uncultured bacterium
Lineage: Bacteria
Description: partial 16S ribosomal RNA
Rfam family: Bacterial small subunit ribosomal RNA
Source: RNAcentral
UGGGGAAUAUUGCACAAUGGGCGCAAGCCUGAUGCAGCAACGCCGCGUGAGGGACGACGGCCUUCGGGUUGUAAACCUCUUUUAGUAGGGAAGAAGCGAAAGUGACGGUACCUGCAGAAAAAGCACCGGCUAACUACGUGCCAGCAGCCGCGGUAAUACGUAGGGUGCGAGCGUUGUCCGGAAUUAUUGGGCGUAAAGAGCUCGUAGGCGGUCUGUCGCGUCUGCUGUGAAAAACCCGAGGCUCAACCUCGGGCCUGCAGUGGGUACGGGCAGACUAGAGUGCGGUAGGGGAGAAUGGAAUUCCUGGUGUAGCGGUGGAAUGCGCAGAUAUCAGGAGGAACACCGAUGGCGAAGGCAGUUCUCUGGGCCGUAAACUGACGCUGAGGAGCGAAAAGCGUGGGGAGCGAAACAGGAUUAGAUACCCUGGUAGUCCACGCCGUAAAACGUUGGGCGCUAGAUGUGGGGACCAUUCCACGGUUUCCGUGUCGCAGCUAACGCAUUAAGCGCCCCGCCUGGGGAGUACGGCCGCAAAGGCUAAAAACUCAAAAGGAAUUGACGGGGUCAUAGCUGUUUCCU